RNAcentral lists this transfer RNA (66 nucleotides) under Pyrrhopeplus carduelis. RNAcentral describes it as "tRNA-Tyr". Lineage: Eukaryota; Metazoa; Arthropoda; Insecta; Hemiptera; Pyrrhocoridae. The record is from RNAcentral.
GAUAAGAUGGCUGAAUUUUAUAGGCUAUAAAUUGUAAAUUUAUAUAUGGUGUUUAACCUCUUAUCA